UUUUGUUAGGAAAACAAGCUAUCUUCUUUUCUAACCUGGGCCCGGGAAAGUACUCCUGCUUUGGGCAAGGACUGUGGCUGGGUGAGGUUCAGCCAAUAUUGGCACCUGACUCUUCCAGUGCUGCAGGAUAAAAGCACAGAUUCUCGGCAACGUUCAGACCGUCUGUUGUCACUGCAAAAUGAGCAUUGGGCUUUUGAAGGCGUUGCAUCCUAGCCUGCUGUGGCUAGUAUCUAUGGAGGUAUCAGAUGUUUGGCGAGCGUGUAUUCGAGUGAGGAGUUUGCAGUCUGGCCCUAUGUCAUUCGCUCAUGUUGUGCAGUAAAGAACAGAAGCCCACGCUUAAUUUGAAGCAGAUGCAUAAGCCUGUCGAUGUCCAGCCAUGAGUGUAAAUACCUAGAUGGAUCCACGCCCAAAUGAUUCAUGUUUUUACUGUUCCACAGCAUUUAAUGUGUAUUUUUUGAAGUUAACAAGAGAGAUCUGUUGUUCAACUAUAGGAGAAGUGACCCUAAAGGUUUACUGGACAAGUCCUUCGUUUAUCUCACAGUAGAGUGACCCUAGGCGAAAUUUGUGCUAGAAUUCUUGUAUCGAUUUUGCUGCUUUUCGAUGUCUCAGGUUCUUCUCUCGAAAGGUUCUUCAGGCAGUGGUUGUCCUCUCCUGUAUUCGUUAUGGGAAAUGCAGCUUAUUUAUAAUCCGCACUAUUAAACAAAGUGGAAACACUUGGCCGUGUUUACAUUUUUCCCCCCUCAAAAGAGCGUUGUGGAAAGAAGCUGUAAUAGGACAGAGCCAAAUUUCUGCCACACUGGUAGCACCUCUCGGGGGCCCCGAUGUGCCGAGUGCUGCGGAGACACAGAGCGGGAGCUCGGGAGCUGUCGCCAUCUAAAUAGACAAAAGGUGAGCAGGGAAAUAGAGGGGAAGGGACUUGUUCCAGGUCACGCAGCAGUUCAGUGGCAGAAACCCCGCAGCCUGACUACCGAGCCAGUGUCGCUACCCACUGGGCCACACUGCCUCUUCCCCAGCCUGUCUCCCCGCUCUUGCUUUCCGCUUGCUCAGGGUCCGAGUCCCUCCUUCGCGGAGGAGCCUGCGCUUCAGCUCCGAGGUGAAGGUGGACAUGGUGCGGAGGCCCCGGGGUCUGAGCCGUUCCCCUGCGCGCCAUGAGAUGAGCCCCCCAGGCCCGGAGCUCUAGUUGUCCAGCGCCAGGCCCCGACCAUGAAUAACAAGGAAACCACAGAGCUCUCCGGUUAGUCCGUGUGGGGUGGGACCCCCACCAGCCCCCACUCCUGUCCCAGAGCCGGGGAGAGAACCCAGGCGUCCUGGCUCCCAGCCCCCC
RNAcentral lists this long non-coding RNA (1324 nucleotides) under Chrysemys picta bellii (western painted turtle). RNAcentral's name for it is "lncRNA (ENSCPBG00000016421.1)". The record is from RNAcentral. Lineage: Eukaryota; Metazoa; Chordata; Testudines; Emydidae.